UAAUUGCUCUCACAUCACUGAUGCGUCUGGCAAACAGGAAGCACUGCUGGUUUGGCUAAAGGUGGGACUGAACACCUCCAUAUACAAUUUUCAAUUACUCGUGAUAGUUGGAAAGGUGCUAUAUUGUAGAAAACAAAAACACACACAACACUAAGGAUCUUGCAGUCUGUUGUUUUCACUUGUAACCUCGUGAAGCCUUCAAUCAGAGCUUGAGCUGGGCAGCUAACUCAAAUUGUUGGUGUAUCACAGCAUCCUCCUUGGCCAGCAGUCUACCUGGAAUGUAUCUGAGACCUGCCUCUCCUGGCAAGACAGGAAGUGACAUGAAGGUGGGCGGGAAGUGGGAUCCAUGAUGGGAUCCCUGACUGGAAAGGGUGCUAUGGGGCUGAGGUAAAGUUCCUGCAUCCUUAUCAUUACCAGAAUCAACUGUAGCUACCACCACCUGUUCACAGGUAUUUCUGACCUGAACGACUCUGCUCUUUAGAGGGAAGACAGAAGGCAGCCAAAAUGAAGGGAAUCUACUCUCUCUGUUCUCCUUCAGGUCCUAUCCCUCAUCGUUCCAGGCUGCAUGUCUCAGAGAAUAAAAGGUGCCUAUGUGGGUCCUGUUUUUACAUCAAGUCACCCUAGGACAUAGAAGAUCUGAUGCGCAUACAACAAAGAAUUUGUUUUGUUGUUGUCUGGUGGAACUAAUUAAAUACAUGGAUGGACAAACAAGUCAAAUCUGUGUGCUCUUGUAAUUCAUCUAAGAAAUCCCAAGAGACUGAGAAUACUGAUGUCUUAAUUGCUAUCAAUCACCCUGGCUCUCCCAGAUCUAGGUAAAUAAUAAGCAUAAUGCAAACACUUUUUGGCAUAUUGUUCUUAGACUGACAACCCAAAAUUUUGUGUGUGUGUUGUAUUCCUAUGUCUAAAAAUACCCAACAAACUUAGCACUAAGUGGAUCCAUUCUACAGGCGUAAAAGUAAGUAACUUUUAUCAUCAGUAACACUGAUGAUAACAUGGCAUUCAGGAUUCAACCUGCGGAAAUCAAGAUGCUGGCUGUAUUGUUCCCCAGAGAGACCCAUGUGGGCAGGUACAUGCACAGCUGUUUCACACGGGAGGUAGAAUGGGUGUUGAUUUAAAGAUACACAACAUCAAGUAGGUUUCUUUCCUGAAUUCACUUUUGGGGGAUUGAGUGUACAAAAGGUGUUCUCUAAGUUAAGAAGCUCCAAGCUUUACUGAUCACACUGAGGCCUUUAGGGUAGAAAGUGAGGCUGGACUUAUGGAGAUACAGUGGUAUUUCUGCUGGCCACCUUGCUUCAAACCAACUAAAUUAACCUCUCUGCCUCAGUUUCCUCAUCUGUAAAAUGGGAACAACAAUAGGAACCUUCCUCACAAGGUGGUUAUAGGAAUUUAAUAAAUUAAUACACGUACAGUACUUAGAAUACUACCUUGCUCAUAGUAAGCAUUCAGUGAGUGUAAGCUGCUAUCACCACCCCCACCAUCAUCACAAUCAUUAUCUUUAUCUCAUGUGUAUCCUCCCUGGUAUGAAAGUAAAUUGAAUUUUAAUAACUAUGACUCCAUUUGACUUGUACUCCAACAGAAUGAAGGAGUUCAGAUCACCUAAAGUGAUCAAGACUUCCCAUAAAUGAUUUUUGUAAUUAUUAACCACUUUUCUUGUAUACUUUUCUUAAUACUAUUCCUGAGAGAAGAUUAUGGGUUGAAUUCCAUCCUCAGAAAGAUAUGUUGGAAGUCUUGACUACUUUCAUCUCAGAAGAUAAUCUUAUUUAGAAAUAGGGUCAUUGCAGAUGUAAUUAGUUAACUGAAGUCAUGCUGGAACAGAAUGGACCCCUAAUCCAAUGUGACUGUGUCCUUAUAUAUGUGUCCUUAUAAUUUCUUAUGUCCUUAGAAAUUUGGACAUAAGAAUGCGGAGGGAUGCCUGUGUGGCUCAGUGGUUGAGCAUCUGCCUUCAGCCCAGGGUGUGAUCCUGGAGACCUGGGAUUGAGUCCCACGUUUGGCUCCCUGCAUGGAGCCUGCAUCUCCCUCUGCCUGUGUGUGUCUCUCUCUCUCUCUCUCUGUCUCUCAUGAAUAACUAAAUAAAAUCUUAAAAAAAAAAAAACCUCACAGGUGGAAGAUAAUAUGAAGACACACUAGACAAGAUGGCCAUGUGAUGAUGGACACAGAUUGAAAUGAUGCAUCUCCAAGUCAGGGGAUGCCAAGGAUUGCUGGCAGGUACAGAAGCCUGGGAGGAUUCUUUUCUACAAGUUUCAAGGUAGCAUGAAUUUUCUGAUAUCUUGAUUUUGGACCUCAAGCCUCCAGAACUGUGGAACAAUAUAUUUCUGUUGUGUUAAGCUACACAGUUUGUUGUACUUUGUUAUGGUAGCCCUAGGAAAUAAAUACAGAAGGGAAUGGGAAAAAAUGCCACUGAGGGGAUAACAUAUCAUUUGGACUUAACCAAACAG
This 2435-nucleotide long non-coding RNA is filed under the name Canis lupus familiaris (dog). Its description in RNAcentral is "lncRNA (ENSCAFG00030001719.1)". The record is from RNAcentral. Lineage: Eukaryota; Metazoa; Chordata; Mammalia; Carnivora; Canidae.